RNAcentral lists this transfer RNA (83 nucleotides) under Candidatus Saccharimonadota bacterium. RNAcentral's name for it is "Candidatus Saccharibacteria bacterium tRNA-Ser". It matches the Rfam family "tRNA", at positions 9 to 71 of the family's 71-position model. Rfam says of the family: Transfer RNA (tRNA) molecules are approximately 80 nucleotides in length. The record is from RNAcentral. Lineage: Bacteria; Candidatus Saccharimonadota.
GACCGAGUGGUUGAAGGUACCGGUCUUGAAAACCGGCGUGCGGUAUCCCCGUACCGAGGGUUCGAAUCCCUCCCCUUCCGCCA